GAAGUUGUCAUCCUCGGCGGCGAGCAGGGCGUUGAUAAAGUCUUGUGGGAUGUCGUUGAAAGCGAUCGGCGAACGGCGCAUCUCGCCGAAUUCCGCUAUCAGCUUGCCGUCGCUGCUGUAGACGCGCAGCGGGAUCUGCAGCUGUAUGCUGCGUAGCGACUCGACGGAUGGCAGGCUGGGGCUAAGGUAAAGGAAGGCGCCGCUCAAACUGAGCAGCAGCCCACAAAAAAUAGCAACGCAGGACCAGAGCAGGAACUUCAACAAACGCAUCAAAAUGUUUGUAUUUCCAGAUAA
RNAcentral lists this antisense RNA (294 nucleotides) under Pseudomonas sp. 21C1. RNAcentral's name for it is "anti ponA RNA". It matches the Rfam family "anti ponA RNA". Rfam says of the family: Transcribed antisense to the penicillin-binding protein 1A gene called ponA. It was identified by RNAseq and the expression was validated by 5' and 3' RACE experiments. The record is from Rfam by way of RNAcentral. Lineage: Bacteria; Pseudomonadati; Pseudomonadota; Gammaproteobacteria; Pseudomonadales; Pseudomonadaceae.